RNAcentral lists this long non-coding RNA (509 nucleotides) under Coturnix japonica (Japanese quail). Its description in RNAcentral is "lncRNA (ENSCJPG00005013922.1)". Lineage: Eukaryota; Metazoa; Chordata; Aves; Galliformes; Phasianidae. The record is from RNAcentral.
GUCAUUACCGAUGCCUUUAUUACUAUUAUUUAAUAGAUCUUGUUAAUUAUUAUUAUUCAUUGGCUUUAAAAGGAACGUUUCCAUAGCAACGGGAAGAUGGAUGCUGCUUUUCAGGAGCUCCAAGUGGACCCAUCUGGGAUCCCCCCGGGUGGUGCUGGUGGUGCUGGUGAUGCUGGUGAUGCUGGUGGUGCUGGUGAUGCUGGUGGUGCUGGUGAUGCUGGUGAUGCUGGUGAUGCUGGUGAUGCUGGUGGUGCUGGUGAUGCUGGUGAUGGUGACGGCACCAGCGGUGCCACCGUGUGGACCUGACGGUGUCCAGGAGCCGCUUUGGGAUGCGGAUGUAGCUUCAAACCAUGCAGAGCCCUCUACCAUCGGUCUACUAUUGAUCAACUGUUGGUCAACCAUUGGCAACCAUUGGUCAACUGUUGUUCUACUGUUGGACAAAUGUUGGCCAACCAUUGCUCAGCCGGGACCCCCAGCUCCUUCCCCACAGACCCCCCCUCCAGCAGCUC